AACGAACGCUGGCGGCAUGCCUAAUACAUGCAAGUCGAACGAGACCUUCGAGUCUAGUGGCGCACGGGUGCGUAACCCGUGGGAACCUGCCCUUAGGUUGGGUAUACCUCCCCGAUAGGGGCGCUAAUAGGGGAUAAUGUCUAAGGCCCAAUGAUUUAUUACCUUGUGAUGGGCACGCGUUGGAUUAGCUAGUUCGUCAGAUAAAAGCCUACCAAGGCGAUGAUACAUAGCUGGUCUGAGAGCAUGACCAGCCACACUAGGACAGGGACACGUCGCGAACACCUGCAAGAGGAAGCAGGUCUGAAUAGUGGACGAAGCGCGAAGGCCUGAGCCAGCAAUACCGCGUAAGUUAUGUAGGCCUGAGGAUAGUAGGGGUCAGUUACCCGGGAUGAUAAUGACAGUACCGAAAGAAUAAGCGACGGCUAACUCCGUG
This 433-nucleotide ribosomal RNA is filed under the name uncultured bacterium. RNAcentral's name for it is "partial 16S ribosomal RNA". It matches the Rfam family "Bacterial small subunit ribosomal RNA", at positions 29 to 507 of the family's 1533-position model. The record is from RNAcentral.